Molecule: unclassified non-coding RNA, 391 nt
Filed under: soil metagenome
Description: partial contains 5.8S ribosomal RNA, internal transcribed spacer 2, and large subunit ribosomal RNA
Rfam family: 5.8S ribosomal RNA (bases 1-122)
Source: RNAcentral
GAUGAAGAACGCAGCGAAAUGCGAUACUUGGUGUGAAUUGCAGAAUCCCGUGAACCAUCAAGUCUUUGAACGCAAGUUGCGCCCGAAGCCAUUAGGCCGAGGGCACGCCUGCCUGGGCGUCACACGUCGUUGCCCCCCCAUCUAAUCCUUCGGGAUUGCGGGGGGCGGAUGAUGGCCUCCCGUGCGCCUCGUCGCGCGGUUGGCAUAAAUGCCAAGUCCUCGGCGACGCACGCCACGACAAUCGGUGGUUGCGAAACCUCGGUUGCCCGUUGUGUGCGGUCGUCGCGCAUCGAGGGCUCGAAAAAAUUGCCGGGCUCCGGCUCGACUUUCAACGCGACCCCAGGUCAGGCGGGGUUACCCGCUGAAUUUAAGCAUAUCAAUAAGCGGAGGA